UCCUCCUUGGCUUUCGCUUCCAUCUUUAGCUCUUCAAUCAUGUCCUCUUCCUCUGCCUUCCAAUACAGUCCAUCCCGAUGAGUCUUCCGAAUGAGAUCAUCAAGCUCAGUCUUGAUAGCAAGAUACAGCUUCUUCCACUUAUCAACAGCCUCAUCUCUCCGCACUCUCUCCUCCCUCAUUUGCUCAACCAAGAAGGUUGAAGCCAACCUUGAAAAUGGCCAAUUUUUCUCGCUUUUCUCCCCCACCAACCCAUCUUCCGUUUCUCUAAUUCUCACUUCCUUCUCUUCCAACAUCUUUCUCAAUCUCUUCACUUCCUCUUUAAGCCUCUUCCUCUCUUGCUUCCAUUCGGCUUCUUUAAAUGCAAAAACCAUCAUGUCUCUCUCAUAAGCUCUAC
This 394-nucleotide unclassified non-coding RNA is filed under the name Hevea brasiliensis (rubber tree). Lineage: Eukaryota; Viridiplantae; Streptophyta; Magnoliopsida; Malpighiales; Euphorbiaceae. The record is from RNAcentral.